UUUUCUGAAGAAGGAAGUAGCCGUUGAGCCUACAAAAGAUUUUCGAAAAAAUCUCUCACCACUAACGUUCGAAAAAGCAGAACUCUGAAUCGAAACCCUUCAACUCUCUCAUAAUUCUCAGAGAAGGGAGAAUCCAUUGGUUUCUUUCUGCUUCAGAUUCAAACCCAGAGGGGGAAGAAAAGAAGAUCCAACAUAAAUGGCGGCCAUUAACAGACGUUACGAGACUGCACAGAGCUACCAAGAUCAAGACGACGACAACAACGCCGCUCACCAGUCUCUCCCACCUCCGAAACCCAUAGAGUCUCACUCCGUCCUCAAGAGGUUGCAAACUGAAUUGAUGGCCUUAAUGAUGAGUGGGGAUUCGGGUAUUUCGGCUUUUCCUGAAGAAGGCAACAUUUUCUACUGGAAAGGGACGAUCAGUGGGAGUAAAGAUACAGUGUUUGAAGGGACUGAGUAUAGAUUGUCCUUGGCGUUUCCCAAUGAGUAUCCCUUUAAGCCACCAAAAGUCAAGUUUGAAACCUCCUGCUUUCAUCCCAAUGUGGACAUCCUUGGCAAUAUCUGCUUGGACAUUCUUCAGGAUAAAUGGACUUCUGCUUAUGAUGUCAGAACUGUCUUGUUAUCUAUUCAGAGCCUGCUUGGAGAACCAAACAUAAGCUCCCCUCUGAAUAACCAGGCAGCUCAACUUUGGAGCAACCAGAAAGAAUAUAGGAAGAUGGUGGAGAAACUGUACAAGGCACCAACAGCUUAGAGUGUGGAUAAGAGGAUGAUGCCAAAUCAAAUCAGGCCACUCCUUGAUCUUGGUGAAGGAGAUGAUAUAUACAGAUGAUAAUCAAAUUUGGAGCUGCAAACCUGCACUGGGCAAGUGAGCGUAGCAGACCUUCCAUGGACUAGCUUGAUAAUGACACAGAAAAAGUGACAAAACAUCCAUCAAGAACAACUGGACAAAGGAAGGAGGGCAGAUUUCCUCGUUCUAGAUCAUGUCUAAAGAGAAAUAUCUAAGAUAAAAUUGACUUCCAAGAAAAGAGUU
Molecule: RNA transcript, 1027 nt
Organism: Momordica charantia (bitter melon)
Lineage: Eukaryota; Viridiplantae; Streptophyta; Magnoliopsida; Cucurbitales; Cucurbitaceae
Gene name: ubiquitin-conjugating enzyme E2 19
Source: RefSeq, a predicted model, not a curated record